This is a long non-coding RNA of Coffea eugenioides, 133 nucleotides long. RefSeq lists it as uncharacterized. Lineage: Eukaryota; Viridiplantae; Streptophyta; Magnoliopsida; Gentianales; Rubiaceae. The record is from RefSeq and is a predicted model, not a curated record. The transcript is spliced from 3 exons.
GAAGAAUCAAUAAACUAAAUGUGUCAGGUGAUCCUCCUAUAUGCGAUAGCUGCUCUAAUUUCUUGCAUGAAACAGUUGAUAAUCUUGCAGGUAUAUCAAUGACAGUACAGCCUCAGCCAGUGGAAACCAAUGU